ACGGAUUUGGCGGCAAGAUAGCCCCUUAGAGGAACCUGCCCUAUAAACGAUGAACCACGAAGAGACAUUACUUUUUUUUGAAAUCAGUUUGUAUAUCGCUGUUGUCAGUUAGAUUCCGAAGAAUAUUUUCAUUUAUGAAAAGGUCAUUGACUUCAAGUAAAGGUGCAGCUUAUAGAAAAGAAAGAGGUGGGUUACAUUUAAAAGAAUAAUACGGAUAAGAUGAAUGAAGGAAUCUUUGAAGGUGGAUUUAACUGUAAAAUUUAAUAAAAUUUGGUGAGAGCUCUAUCUUGUGUACACACC
RNAcentral lists this ribosomal RNA (300 nucleotides) under Tetraclita achituvi. RNAcentral describes it as "partial 12S ribosomal RNA". Lineage: Eukaryota; Metazoa; Arthropoda; Thecostraca; Balanomorpha; Tetraclitidae. The record is from RNAcentral.